GUGAAGGAGGAGCUAGAACUGGAAAAGCAACAAGGAGUGGAGAAUGAACCUAUGAACAGUCUUUCCGAAUUGGAUCUUCUGACGUCUCAUUAUCUCCAAGACGAUCUUCCAAUUAUAUUGGAAGUAUUGCUACGCUCUGAUCAUCUUAUGACAGAUGAAUUGUGGAAAUGGUUGGAAGAGGUCCUGGAGGUUUACUCCCGACCAGAAGUCCUUGGUCGUGGAACCUGGGGCCUCCGCCGCUGUGUUUUUGGUGGAGGCUGGAACCUGGGCCGCCGUGCCUAUUGCCGCCGUGGUCGUGCCCGUGGUUUCGGACACCGUGGUCACGGUCGUGCCCGUGGUUUCGGACACCGGUGA
Molecule: ribosomal RNA, 354 nt
Filed under: Triticum aestivum (bread wheat)
Lineage: Eukaryota; Viridiplantae; Streptophyta; Magnoliopsida; Poales; Poaceae
Description: partial small subunit ribosomal RNA
Source: RNAcentral